GGGGAUAUAGCUCAAUUGGAUAGAGCACCUCACUACGGAUGAGGAUGUUGUAGGUUCGAGUCCUACUAUCCCCGCCA
This 77-nucleotide transfer RNA is filed under the name Bacillus cereus. Its description in RNAcentral is "tRNA-Arg". It matches the Rfam family "tRNA". From Rfam's summary of the family: Transfer RNA (tRNA) molecules are approximately 80 nucleotides in length. Their secondary structure includes four short double-helical elements and three loops (D, anti-codon, and T loops). The record is from RNAcentral. RNAcentral also lists the same sequence under 1 other name. Lineage: Bacteria; Bacillati; Bacillota; Bacilli; Caryophanales; Bacillaceae.